GUUACGUUUUGUAAUACUUUGCAUACAUCACUAGGUUGAUUAAAAAGGGACCGGUUUCACAGGUGGUAAGAAGUGAGGGGUCGGCAGGCUCGAAUCGAGCCGCCUGUUCACUAAUGAUCCUUCCGCAGGUUCACCUACGGAAA
RNAcentral lists this unclassified non-coding RNA (143 nucleotides) under uncultured fungus. RNAcentral's name for it is "sequence contains ITS1". Lineage: Eukaryota; Fungi. The record is from RNAcentral.